CGGGCUUGACAUGUACCUGAAAGCCCUAGAAAUAGGGUCCCUCUUCGGAGCGGGUACACAGGUGCUGCAUGGCUGUCGUCAGCUCGUGUCGUGAGAUGUUGGGUUCAGUCCCGCAACGAGCGCAACCCCUGUCCUUAGUUGCCAGCACGUCAAGGUGGGAACUCUAAGGAGACUGCCUGUGUUAAGCAGGAGGAAGGUGGGGAUGACGUCAAGUCCUCAUGGCCCUUACGUCCGGGGCUGCACACGUGCUACAAUGGCCGGUACAAAGGGCUGCGAUACCGUGAGGUGGAGCUAAUCCCAAAAAACCGGUCUCAGUUCGGAUUGCAGUCUGCAACUCGACUGCAUGAAGG
This 350-nucleotide ribosomal RNA is filed under the name uncultured bacterium. Its description in RNAcentral is "bacterial SSU rRNA". It matches the Rfam family "Bacterial small subunit ribosomal RNA", at positions 976 to 1325 of the family's 1533-position model. The record is from RNAcentral.